Molecule: non-coding RNA, 2172 nt
Organism: Zonotrichia albicollis (white-throated sparrow)
Lineage: Eukaryota; Metazoa; Chordata; Aves; Passeriformes; Passerellidae
Source: RefSeq, a predicted model, not a curated record
AUGGCUCCAAAACUGUUAUCCCAGGAUAACAGCAAAGAGUAAAUUAAAAUCCCUGGAUUCUCACCCACACUGAGCUGGAAUAAAGCCUGAAGGAUUCCUAUUGCUCCAUGAAAAUGGCUCCAAACUCACUGGGAUAACAGCAAAGGUCAAGGUAAAAUCCCUGGAUCCUCACCCACACUGAGGGGGAAUAAAUCCUGAAGAAUUCCCAUAAAAAUGGCUCCAAACUCACUGGGAUAACAGCAAAAAUCAGGUUAAAAUCCCUGGAUUCUCACCCAGACUGAGCUGGAAUAAAUCCUGCAGGAUUCCCAUUGCUCCAUGAAAAAUGGCUCCAAAACUGUUAUCCCAGGAUAACAGCAAAAAUCAGGUUAAAAUCCCUGGAUCCUCACCCAGACCAGGCUGCUGAACAUUCCCAUGGAAUAAAUCCUGCAGGAUUCCCAUUGCUACACAAAAAUGGCUCCAAAACUGUUAUCCCAGGAUAACACCAAAGAUAAGUUAAAAUCUCUGGAUCCUCACCCAGAAUGAGGUGGAAUAAAGCCUGAAGGAUUCCCAUUUUUCCAGGAAAACAGCCCCAAACUGCCUGGGAUAACAGCAAAGAUCAGGUUAAAAUCCCUGGAUUCUCACCCACACUGAGGGGGAAUAAAUACUGAUGGAUUCCCAUUGCUCCAUAAAAAUGGCUCCAAAACUGUUAUCCCAGGAUAACAGCAAAAAUCAGGUUAAAAUCCCUGGAUCCUCACCCAGACCAGGCUGCUGAACAUUCCCAUGGAAUAAAUCCUGAAGGAUUCCCAUUGCUCCAUGAAAAAUGGCUCCAAAACUCACUGGGAUAACAGGAAAGGUCAGGUUAAAAUCCCUGGAUCCUCACCCAGAAUAAGCUGGAAUAAAUCCUGAAGGAUUCCCACUGAAAAUGGCUCCAAACUCACUGGGAUAACAGCAAAGAGCAAGGAAAAAUCCCUGGAUUCUCACCCACACCGAGCUGGAAUAAAUCCUGAAGGAUUCCCACUGCUCCAUGAAAAAAGGCUCCAAAACUGUUAUCCCAGGAUAACAGCAAAAAUCAGGUUAAAAUUCCUGGGUCUUCAGUCAGACCAAGCUGCUACAGAUUCCCAUGGAAUAAAUCCUGCAGGAUUCCCAUUGCUACACAAAAAUGGCUCCAAAACUGUUAUCCCAGGAUAACAGCAAAGAGAAGUUAAAAUCUCUGGAUCCUCAUCAGAGUGAGCUGGAAUAAAUCCUGAAGGAUUCCCACUGCAAAAGGGUCCCAAACUGCCUGGGAAAACAGCAAAAGUCAGGUUAAAAUCCUUGGAUUCUCACCCAGACUGAGGGGGAAUAAAUCCUGAAGGAUUCCCAUAAAAAUGGCUCCAAACUCACUGGGAAAACAGAAAAAAUCAAGUCAAAAUCCCUGGAUCCUCACCACACUGAUCUGCUGCCCAUUCCCACAGAUUAAAUCCUGCAGGAUUCCCAUUUUUCCAUGAAAACAGCCCCAAAGUGCCUGAGCUGAGCCCCCAAUCUGCUCCAUGGCUGCAGCCCAGAGCCAAAGUGCAAGGCUCUGAAAUUCCAGGUGUUCCAGGAGCCUUGGCAUCCCUGCCCUGCUGCUCCCCAGGGAUUGUUUUUGGAGCCUGGAACCUUCCUGUUGAAACAUCUCUCUAAUUGCAAUAAUUGAUCCUAAUUGCUCUCUGCAUUUCCAAAUUCCACAGGCAAGGCUAGGUUGCAUCCAAGCCCAGGAAAACAAUGAUGAGAUCCAAGCACUGCCCCAUUAUCUCUCUCUUUUUUGGUAUUUAAUGACCUAAGAAAGUUACAAAAGCCACUUUAAAUUACAUUUAGGUAGAUAAACUAAUUAAAUCUAUUUAGCUAAUACUGAGAAAAUAAAUCCCAAGCACCAUGAAGACAAAAAACAAUUAGAGAUGAGUAAUUCCAGGGUAAUUAAGGACUUUUUAUGGAGUCUCUGGAUGAGUUGGAGACCACUGGAAGUUGACCUCAUUCUCAUUUUCCAACAGUGUGGAAUGAGUGUGGAAUUUCCAAAUGAGUGAUUAGCCCAGAUUUAAUUAAGUUCUGCAUUCUGGGAGAACAAUUUUAUGACUCAUUACAUUUUUUUUUUUUGCCAGUUCUUAAUUUCAGGAAUGGCAGAUUUGCUGGGAAUUUCAGUGGAAUUUUCAGAGGAUUCUGAGCAUUACAACAAGCAAU